GACGAACGCUGGCGGCGUGCUUAACACAUGCAAGUCGAACGAUGAUGCCAGCUUGCUGGUGGCUUAGUGGCGAACGGGUGAGUAACACGUGAGCAACCUGCCCCUGACUUCGGGAUAACCGCGGGAAACCGUGGCUAAUACCGGAUAUGACGCGCUAUCGCAUGGUGGUGUGUGGAAAGAUUUAUCGGUUGGGGAUGGGCUCGCGGCCUAUCAGCUUGUUGGUGGGGUGAUGGCCUACCAAGGCGACGACGGGUAGCCGGCCUGAGAGGGUGACCGGCCACACUGGGACUGAGACACGGCCCAGACUCCUACGGGAGGCAGCAGUGGGGAAGAUUGCACAAUGGGCGCAAGCCUGAUGCAGCGACGCCGCGUGAGGGAUGACGGCCUUCGGGUUGUAAACCUCUUUCAGUAGGGAAGAAGGCCUUCGGGUUGACGGUACCUGCAGAAGAAGCGCCGGCUAACUACGUG
Molecule: ribosomal RNA, 468 nt
Filed under: uncultured bacterium
Lineage: Bacteria
Description: partial 16S ribosomal RNA
Rfam family: Bacterial small subunit ribosomal RNA
Source: RNAcentral